AGGGUUUGAUCAUGGCUCAGGACGAACGCUGGCGGCAGGCCUAACACAUGCAAGUCGAACGGUAACAGGAAGCAGCUUGCUGCUUCGCUGACGAGUGGCGGACGGGUGAGUAAUGUCUGGGAAACUGCCUGAUGGAGGGGGAUAACUACUGGAAACGGUAGCUAAUACCGCAUAACGUCGCAAGACCAAAGAGGGGGACCUUCGGGCCUCUUGCCAUCGGAUGUGCCCAGGUGGGAUUAGCUAGUUGGUGAGGUAAUGGCUCACCAAGGCGACGAUCCCUAGCUGGUCUGAGAGGAUGAUCAGCCACACUGGAACUGAGACACGGUCCAGACUCCUACGGGAGGCAGCAGUGGGGAAUAUUGCACAAUGGGGGAAACCCUGAUGCAGCCAUGCCGCGUGUGUGAAGAAGGCCUUCGAGUUGUAAAGCACUUUCAGCGAGGAGGAAAGGUUGAUGCCUAAUACGUAUCAACUGUGACGUUACUCGCAGAAGAAGCACCGGCUAACUCCGUGCCAGCCGCCGCGGUAAUAC
This 529-nucleotide ribosomal RNA is filed under the name uncultured bacterium. RNAcentral describes it as "bacterial SSU rRNA". It matches the Rfam family "Bacterial small subunit ribosomal RNA", at positions 8 to 526 of the family's 1533-position model. The record is from RNAcentral.